UUAGAAAGUACAAGUAUGAUGCAUAGGAUGGCUUGCUCUAACGUAUUUGAUCUGAUUUCAGAACUCAUGUGAUCCUUGACCGCUGAUCCCUUAAUCAAUCUCCUGAAUUAGACGAGACCGCUGCCAUACUCACGUUGGUGCCAUUGGCUUUCACCCUCGCUUAACAACCGUAUAAUAGUCGUUAUUGGGGGAAACGAUGAUGGAGUUCUGGUGAUUGGUUGUGAUUGUACCUGCUGAAAUAAGUGGUGGUUACUUGGUGAUUAGAGAUGGUGAAAGCAAGUUAAACAUCGGGUCAAAGCCGGAUUCAACAUGGUCAAACAUCUUCAAAAUCAGUCAACGCUAAUCACUCCCGAAAGAGGGUUGAAGCAGAGCGAAAAACGACAGUGCUUUCACUCGAUGGAUGUAAUAAGAAUGUUGUUGUGGCGUUAAUUAGCAUGCAUGAUUACGGUUUUGAGGCCAAAAUUAAAUUGAAUCUAGAGACAAUUUGUGUGGAAACACCUAAAGAAUCUGUUGCUAAAACUCCUGUAGAGAGAAAGAAACAGUAAAAGCAAAAGAACCAUCUGCAAAGAAGUCAAAGAAAGAAAGGGAUCCAAGUAAACCUAAAAGGCCACCAACUGCAUUCUUUUUUUCAUGGAGGACAUUAGGAAAACAUUUAAGGAAGCAAAUCUAGACAAUAAGAAAGUUGCAUUGGUUGCUAAGGAGGGUGGUGGAAAAAUGGAAGUCAAUAACUGAUG
This 734-nucleotide long non-coding RNA is filed under the name Helianthus annuus (common sunflower). RNAcentral describes it as "hypothetical non coding rna". Lineage: Eukaryota; Viridiplantae; Streptophyta; Magnoliopsida; Asterales; Asteraceae. The record is from RNAcentral.